AUGGCAAAGAACACAAAAAAACAGACCAGUUGCGAGUCCAAAGGUCGAAUUGCAAGUGGCACCGAAAACACCCUCCGAGUUGCGAGUCGAUGGUCGAGUUGCAAGUGGCAUGCGGGGCCUGCAAUUUCAGAGUCGAUGGUAGACUUGCAAGUGGGAAAUUACGAGACAAGAAUACAACAUACCAAUUGCAAGUCCAUGGUCGAGUUGCAAGUCCACAGUCUACUUGCAAAGUGUCAUCGCGGCCCCACUGAGUUGCAAAAAGAUACCAGUUGCGAAUCUAGGGUCGAGUUGCAAGUGGCAUCGAGUAAAACACCCCCCACCGAGUUGCAAGUCGAUGGUGGACUUGCAGCUGGGGCAAUUAUGAAAAAGAAAGACAAAAAAAGAUACCAGUUGCGAAUCCAAGGUCGAGUUGCAACUGGUAUCGAGUAA
Molecule: ribosomal RNA, 429 nt
Filed under: Triticum aestivum (bread wheat)
Lineage: Eukaryota; Viridiplantae; Streptophyta; Magnoliopsida; Poales; Poaceae
Description: partial small subunit ribosomal RNA
Source: RNAcentral